This 426-nucleotide ribosomal RNA is filed under the name uncultured bacterium. RNAcentral describes it as "bacterial SSU rRNA". It matches the Rfam family "Bacterial small subunit ribosomal RNA", at positions 354 to 796 of the family's 1533-position model. The record is from RNAcentral.
GUGAGGAAUAUUCGUCAAUGGGGGCAACCCUGAACGAGCAACGCCGCGUGGAGGAUGAAGGCCCUUGGGUUGUAAACUCCUUUUCUGUGGGAAGAGGAAGGACGGUACCACAGGAAUAAGUCACGGCUAACUACGUGCCAGCAGCCGCGGUAAUACGUAGGUGGCAAGCGUUAUCCGGAUUUACUGGGCGUAAAGCGCACGCAGGCGGCUGUCCAAGUCUGACGUGAAAGCUCCUGGCUUAACUGGGAGAGGUCGUUGGAAACUAGAUGGCUUGAGGCGAGGAGAGGGGUGUAGAAUUCCCGGUGUAGUGGUGGAAUGCGUAGAUAUCGGGAGGAAUACCAGUGGCGAAAGCGACACCCUGGCCUUUGCCUGACGCUCAGGUGCGAAAGCGUGGGUAGCGAACGGGAUUAGAUACCCCAGUAGUCC